This 571-nucleotide long non-coding RNA is filed under the name Medicago truncatula (barrel medic). RNAcentral describes it as "lncRNA gene24041". Lineage: Eukaryota; Viridiplantae; Streptophyta; Magnoliopsida; Fabales; Fabaceae. The record is from RNAcentral.
UUAUUUCUCUCUUCACAAUUUCUCUUGUAAACCAAACACACCCUUAGGGUCCCUAUUUUCAUGUAAGACAUUUUCGUGUGACCAUAUCCAAGAGUGCAACUACUUUGCUUGAUGUUUUAAAUUUCAAACCAUCUUAUACUACUAAUAUUUUAGUCUGUGUACGGAAAUUAAAUUGUAUCACCACGCCAGUAUUCUCUUUUAUUAAAUUACUACUAUUUCUUUUGCAUUAGGUUUGUUACAUUAAACAAUCUUAAAUUUCUUACAUUUUGAAAAGUUAAAAGAAGUAGCUUUAGAAACAAACGGACAAUAGAUGAGAAAGAAGAGAAUGUUAAGGGAGAAAGUACUUUUUAUAUAACCAAACAUACAACAUACAAAACUUCAAAAUCAAUUAUUUUUGCUUAAGCAAACAAGCCCUUAAACAUAUAUUUUAGUUUUAAAGAUAACAUCUUCACGAAAGCAUGUUGAUUUAUAACUGGAGAUGUAUAGAGUAAAGUUGCAGAGGAAAAUCAUAAUAGAAAACACCAAAGAAGAACAUUAUAGCUACUUGAUUGCAUUUUCUGGACAAAAGUGA